RNAcentral lists this ribosomal RNA (473 nucleotides) under uncultured bacterium. Its description in RNAcentral is "bacterial SSU rRNA". It matches the Rfam family "Bacterial small subunit ribosomal RNA", at positions 335 to 803 of the family's 1533-position model. The record is from RNAcentral.
ACUCCUACGGGAGGCAGCAGUGGGGAAUAUUGCGCAAUGGGGGCAACCCUGACGCAGCCAUGCCGCGUGAAUGAAGAAGGCCUCGGGUUGUAAAGUUCUUUCGGUGAUGAGGAAGGGAGUUAUGUUAAUAGCAUAAUUCAUUGACGUUAGUCACAGAAGAAGCACCGGCUAACUCCGUGCCAGCAGCCGCGGUAAUACGGAGGGUGCGAGCGUUAAUCGGAAUAACUGGGCGUAAAGGGCACGCAGGCGGUGACUUAAGUGAGGUGUGAAAUCCCCGGGCUUAACCUGGGGAAUUGCAUUUCAGACUGGGUCGGCUAGAGUACUUUAGGGAGGGGUAGAAUUCCACGUGUAGCGGUGAAAUGCGUAGAGAUGUGGAGGAAUACCGAAGGCGAAGGCAGCCCCUUGGGAAUGUACUGACGCUCAUGUGCGAAAGCGUGGGAGCAAACAGGAUUAGAUACCCUGGUAGCGACUGA